Molecule: ribosomal RNA, 497 nt
Filed under: uncultured bacterium
Lineage: Bacteria
Description: partial 16S ribosomal RNA
Rfam family: Bacterial small subunit ribosomal RNA
Source: RNAcentral
GGUGAACGCUGGCGGCAUGCCUAAUACAUGCAAGUCGAACGGAAGGACAGUAAGAUUGCGCCCCUGCCGGUGGCGGCUGACGGGCGGGUAACGAAUACAUCGGCUACCUCUAUUUCUGGGGGAACUACGGGAGACCGGAGCUGCUACCGGCGAAUAUGUUCUACCGCAUGGUUCAAUAGAUCAUGACAGUUUUGCUGUCACUUUUAGAUGAUUCCGCGCCGGAUUAGCUAGUUGGUAAGGUAACGGCACACCAAGGCUACGAUGCGUAGCCGACCUGAGAGGAUGAUCGGCCACACUGGAACUGAGACACGGUCCAGACUCCUACGGGAGGCAGCAGUGGGGAAUAUUGCGCAAUGGGCGAAAGCCUGAUGCAGCAAUGCCGCGUGAGUGAUGAAGGUCUUCGGGUCGUAAAGCUCUGUUAUUAGGGAAGAACAACUGCGUAAGAAUCUAUGGCCGUUCUGACGGUACCCAAAGAGAAAGCAACGGCUAACUACGUG